AGGACGAACGCUGGCGGCGUGCUUAACACAUGCAAGUCGGGCGGAAAGGCCCUUCGGGGUACUCGAGCGGCGAACGGGUGAGUAACACGUGAGUAAUCUGCCCCUAGCUCUGGGAUAGCUCCGGGAAACCGGGAUUAAUACCGGAUACGACCACCUUAGACAUCUUUUGUGGUGGAAAGAAUUUCGGCUAGGGAUGAGCUCGCGGCCUAUCAGCUUGUUGGUGGGGUAACGGCCUACCAAGGCGACGACGGGUAGCCGGCCUGAGAGGGCGACCGGCCACACUGGGACUGAGACACGGCCCAGACUCCUACGGGAGGCAGCAGUGGGGAAUAUUGCGCAAUGGGCGAAAGCCUGACGCAGCGACGCCGCGUGGGGGAUGAAGGCCUUCGGGUUGUAAACCCUUUCAGCAGGGACGAAGCGAAGUGACGGUACCUGCAGAAGAAGCGCCGGCUAACUACGUGCCAGCAGCCGC
RNAcentral lists this ribosomal RNA (472 nucleotides) under uncultured bacterium. Its description in RNAcentral is "SSU rRNA". It matches the Rfam family "Bacterial small subunit ribosomal RNA", at positions 26 to 518 of the family's 1533-position model. The record is from RNAcentral.